AUUGAACGCUGGCGGAAUGCUUUACACAUGCAAGUCGAACGGUAGAGGGGGCAACCCCUUGAGAGUGGCGAACGGGUGAGUAAUAUAUCGGAACGUGCCCAGUCGUGGGGAUAACGUAGCGAAAGUUACGCUAAUACCGCAUACGAUCUAAGGAUGAAAGCGGGGGAUCGCAAGACCUCGCGCGAUUGGAGCGGCCGAUAUCAGAUUAGGUAGUUGGUGAGGUAAAGGCUCACCAAGCCAACGAUCUGUAGCUGGUCUGAGAGGACGACCAGCCACACUGGAACUGAGACACGGUCCAGACUCCUACGGAGGCAGCAGUGGGGAAUUUUGGACAAUGGGCGCAAGCCUGAUCCAGCAAUGCCGCGUGCAGGAUGAAGCU
This 379-nucleotide ribosomal RNA is filed under the name uncultured bacterium. RNAcentral describes it as "bacterial SSU rRNA". It matches the Rfam family "Bacterial small subunit ribosomal RNA", at positions 30 to 415 of the family's 1533-position model. The record is from RNAcentral.